This 72-nucleotide transfer RNA is filed under the name Camelus bactrianus (Bactrian camel). It matches the Rfam family "tRNA". From Rfam's summary of the family: Transfer RNA (tRNA) molecules are approximately 80 nucleotides in length. Their secondary structure includes four short double-helical elements and three loops (D, anti-codon, and T loops). Lineage: Eukaryota; Metazoa; Chordata; Mammalia; Artiodactyla; Camelidae. RNAcentral also lists the same sequence under 2 other names. The record is from Rfam by way of RNAcentral.
GGGGGCAGAGCUCAGCGGCAGAGUGCGUGCUUAGCACGCGCGAGGUCCUGGGUUCCAUUCCCAGCGCCUCCA